GGUAUGAAUGGCUAAACGAGAAAUUGACUUUUUUUGUAAUAAAAAUUGAAUUUAAUUUUUUAGUGAAAAAGCUAAAAUUUUUCAGAAAGACGAGAAGACCCUAUAGAGUUUUAUGCUUUAAGUAUAUUUUUUUUAUUAGAUUUUAAGAUAAGUGUAUUUAAGAGCAUUUUGUUGGGGCGACAUUAAGAUAAAUAAAACUCUUUAUUUUUUUUAAUUUUUAUGUAAAAAUGGUUUGAUCCUUUAAAAAAGAUCAAAAGAAAAAAUUACCUUAGGGAUAACAGCGUAAUCUUUUUUGAGAGUUCUAAUCGACAAAAAGGUUUGCGACCU
This 327-nucleotide ribosomal RNA is filed under the name Conopea minyrostrum. RNAcentral describes it as "partial large subunit ribosomal RNA". The stretch from base 58 to 327 matches the Rfam family "Bacterial large subunit ribosomal RNA", at positions 2048 to 2526 of the family's 2925-position model. The record is from RNAcentral. Lineage: Eukaryota; Metazoa; Arthropoda; Thecostraca; Balanomorpha; Balanidae.